CGCGUGCACUCACGGUAUUUAAACCCUCCGGCGCUCUGAGAGACGGUAUCGUUUUGUAAGCAGAGUGCAGUCACGCAAUCAGGAGCAUGCUGGAUGGAAUCCUGGUGUCGCCAAGUUGAGGGCCAGCAGGAUGAGGUGGUUUGGUCCUCACGCUCCCGGGGGUUGAGGAGGGAAGUCGCCCCACCACCCUUACGUCCCCUGUCCCCACCCCCCUCCCUUACUGGGUCUCCCCAGGCUGGGUCCUUGCUUCCUCGCCUCCACGGUUCAGCUGCUUAGUAACGACCGUCGCUGAAGGCAGGCCCACAAUCAUCUCCAGUCCUUGUGAUGGGGCCUGACGGUCAGCAGCUGGAAUCGUCUUUCAAGAGAAGACCGUCACCACCUGCCUCUGAGCAAGGGACAAACUGAAUAAAAAAAAAAAAAAAAAACAUAAUCAAAAAUAUAUUGUACAUAAUCUUGUACAGAAGCGAACAGUUGAAUAUUAGUCUGAAAUCUCAAGCUUUGAUGAAUGAAGGAGAAGAAGAUUUUCGUCCAACCCCUGAUAAAAUGGAUAGGCAGACGGAUGAAAAUAAUCAGUAUAGAGAGAGAGAGAGAGAGAGAGAGAGAGAGAGAAGGAUCUCCAGAACUCCGGAACACGGCCGAGGGUUCUGUUUCUAUGGAAGCUUGCUUCAACUCCACGGCAACAAACCAUGCAGGCGGGAGGGUUAAGAAGCCUCUUCCCUUCACUCGGAUUGGUUAACCUGUAAAUAGAACCCUUUCCUUCUGAUUGGUUAAAACAGAACAGUUUUAAAAAUCUUUGGCGUAAAAACACUAGUACCAGACACACCAGUUGAUCAGAUUCCUGACUCCACCACGAAGACAUCCCUUGAGUCGGCUUUGCAAGAGGGGCUGCCGGGACCACUUUCACAGGCAGAGCAGUCUGCUGCACUUGGGAGGGAGAAGGGGGAGAAAAUGUUGACUUUUUUGACUUUUUAUUAGACAAACAAAUACAAAAUAAAUUAAAGAAAGGAAAAAAGAGUUGAUUUACUAAGCUAUUUAUAUAUACAAAGGCAUAUUUUAAUCUGCGAGCAAAUUGGGGAUUUCAGCUUCAACGGCUCGGUAUCACUGGAACUGCGUGCUAACCCAAACUGGAAUCGGGCUGGUCCUUUCCAGCCCUGCGUUUCAUAUCCCCGGCCUGGAUACCCUGCGGACUGACCCUCUGCAACGCGAAAGCACCCGAGGGCUCAGAAGAGCAACAACAGUGAGCAUACGUGCACAAGCAGAAGGAAUAUUCAGUGUGAGAGACAGAAAAAAAAACAUUUAUGUUAACAUUUAAAAAAAACAAUGCAUUUAGUUCUCCCUUUCGAGGUGUCAUUGGUUGCCUUUGACUGAUUUGGGUAUUUUAAUUAAAAACAUGGGGGGGAGAAUGUUAUAUAUUGUCAUAUCUACAAGCUGGGAGAGAAAUGAAAGCCAAAGUUGAAAACUUUUCAGACAAAAAAAAAAAACAGGGAUGGUGAUCUCUCACACACUGUGUGCAGACUACAAACUAAAAAAUAUACAAGCUGUAUUACACUAUAACCUUUGGUAUAUGGGUGAUAUAUUGCACGGCAUUUUGUUUCCGUCGCUCUGCUGCACACGACAGAUCCGCUAGUCAAGGCAAGCAACGUCACCUUUAGGGCAAACCUGUUUCUUUGUUUUGUUUUGCUCACCCGUACUCACCGUGACAUCAUAGCGUUCUGCAUCCACACUCUAACAAGUAUAUUAUGUUGCAAUAACUUGUUGUUUCCUGCAGUCUGUAUUGUAAAUUAAACCACUUAGUAACGCUCCAGCAAAGGCUUGCACGCUGCUUUACAAGGCACGAUGAGGUAACACCCCCCCCCAGUGCCUGGGCUCCCUCGAACCGGCUCGCUGCCCCAACCCUCAACCCAGCUUACUGGCACCUUAAUCGCCUGCUGAUUGUGAUCUGCAUUAUUUCAAAUAGGACCUGCUCGAGGUAUUUACGAGUUUCCUGAAUGCGUUGUGUGUUUCCGAUUUAAACACACACACACACACACACAAAAAAGCUGUCCUUUCCUCAUGCAUUCAUUCAUGGAGCCUGCAGGACACUCAACAUUACAAAUAGAAAUGGCUUUUACAUGAGGGGGCAGCUGUAACCCUGAGCUUGUACUCCUCAGUGCUCUCUGUGAAAGGAGAGUGCUCCCGUAAUGGAACAAAACUAGUAUUAGGAAAACAGGAGGAGCUGAGAGCCUUUAGGAACAGUGUCCCUUCUGGUUUGCAUGCGGCGCAGACACAAGCCCUCGCUUACCCCCCUGUGACCUGCGUGCCACACUGCUAUACUUGCAGCUGUAAGAGGUUAUAUAUAGUGCAGCUCUGGUAUAACUCAGGAUGCAAAACAGAAAUGGAAAAUGUUUGACUUGUGUACUGCUAUGUUCAAUUACAGGUUCAUAAGCCGCCUUAAGCAUUUAAAAGCUUUUUUUUUUUUUUUUUUUUUUUUUUUAAAUCGGCCUUCUUGGUUUUGUACCGCUGCCAGUUUUCUGUUCCUUUUCACGAGUGUGCUGUUCUUGUAUAAGCCUGCAGUGUCUGGGGGAGCUUCGUGUGAGUCUGUGCGCUCCUCUCUGAAGGGCUGCUGCAGCCUCUCCUCUCAGGGGACUGCAGGCUGUGAUCCAUGCAUCUGCUUGUGGUAAUAAAAAUAACCUGUGUUUGCCUGUAGCCCCGUGUCUCCGUUUGUGGAUCUGACCUGCGUGCCCAGAAAGAUAACAGAUUUUCAGUCCGCAAGUCAUAGUGCAGAAUACCAUAAAGGAACUUGGCCUUUAAUGUCACCACCUUUAGGAAACGACUUCAUCUUUAAAAAAAAAUAACAUAAAUGAUCUGCAUUUGAGACUGCUUUGGUACAUAUGACCACCAGGUGGCAUGCGUCCCAUUAACAAACAAAAAAAGUAUUGCGCUAGUUCAGCGUACAGCGACAGACAACACAUAUGACUUGUUUAUCGUUAAAAAUGCAUAGUAACAAACAGAGUUUGUUUCCCUUCUGCUGUCUAUAAGCGCUAUGCAGCCGAGUGUUAGCCGGUAAGCGCAGUGGCCCGGUGAACACGGCGUGCCCUCACCCUGCGGUCCCGGCGCUGGAGAAUUUGCGCGCAGGUGUGCCGCGCUGGAGUCCUGAUCGCGACCCCGCCCCUCUCCCCAGGUAAGGGACAGCAAGAUGGCGGGGGGAGCAACUUGAUCUGAAUCUGGAGAGAGUAUUCGCGUUUAAACGGUGUGUUAGUGGAGGAUAGUGCGCCGGAGCAGCGGGUCGUUAGUUUCUCCGUCGCUGGUCCUGUUUUUUUUAGCCGAGACCGGAGUUUGGAUACAGCCUGUUUGUUCUCAAGACCUAGCGGCAUGUAAAAUUACAGAUCCUGCGAGGCAGCGAGACGCAGUUCUCAGGACGGCGGGUCGUGUUUCUAUCUCCGCACACUCUUAAACACGUAUCCCAGGGAACACUCAUUCGCAUCCUGUCUGCUGCUCUCUAUUCCAGCAAUACGAACCCUGCUUUCCAAUGUCGAAUUUACGGUUUCAGAUCCUCCUUCUUUCAAAGCUAGUCAUUGUAUCGGAAUGUUUUGUAGAUGCAGUCUAGGUGACUGUGUGUGAGAUUUCCUCAUAAUCUCUGCCGUCUCCAGUAAAUGUGCGUCAAUACUGGAAAAUACUAAGAAAUACAACACUUAUUUGGGCAUUUGAGAUUUAAAAAAAAAAAAAAAAUUAAAAGCUAGCUUUUUCUAGACUCGCCGUGCACUGUACUGUCUCAAAACUCAUCUAAAUGGACAGCUUUAUUUUCAGAUUGACGUCCUUCACAAAGGCUUGUUUUCCGACACUUGGUGUGAAAGGCGCUAUAUAAAUAAAUGCGCUUUUUUACAGUUCUUUGAAAAGUUGUGCAGAACCGGGAUGUGAGGGAGGGGGUUCCACAGUGACAUGCAGGAGGUUAAGAAGUAGUCUGCCUGCUUCCAGGGAGCCUGCAACACGACUGGAGGCAUGGAUACCAGGCACAGUGUGAUCAAGGGUAGUGGGUUAUUCCCUCCAGCCCGUCACCCCGGCCUGUGUCUGCAGGGUGGCAGGUGAAGCAGGCAUCCUCAGGCGAGCACUGUUGUGGAUAAUUUGAUCAGUUUAGGUUUACAAUGCAGAACACGGUUUCAUUUUUUUAUUUUUGUAAUCCAGUAAUUAAUACACGUUAGCAGCACAAAAUAAAUAAAUAAAUAAUACUAGUACAAUUUUGCAGUACAGGUUUUAAAGUUAUGGUUCGUGUUUGUUUUUGAUAAUGGCUUGCAAACACCGCUUGAGCUGUUGAGAGGUUGAAAGCGCAGUGUGUGUGUGUGCGUGCUGUAUCUUCUGUCAUUAAUAACAUCUUGUUUCUCGUUUAUUUUUCAGGACAGUUAGACUCCAGUCCCCAGCACUGAUGCACAUCAAGAGAUCUGCGGUUCUGCCUCUUUAAAGGGAGUCUUGCUGGAUGAGUCACUGUUCUUGUGACUUUUUCCUUUGGAAAGCCAGCGUUUCAACCAGACGCAUCUGCUGUGUGUGUGUGUGUGUGUGCGUGUGUAAACCAGCAACUGUGGGACGAUCUCUGUACUUCAGUACGCUGUGUACUGUUCGAUGUGUUCACUUCAGUUGGCGAUUUCUUUUUUCAUGCAAGCUGGAAGUCCGAUGGGAUCUUGUGCCCUGGGCUGUUUAAUGUUACCAUGAGUAGAGUAUUCCACGAUCACUGGUCAUUGGCAUGUUAGUCGCAUCUUAUUGUGCUAAUAUAACUGCCUUGUCAUUCAUUGUGUAAGUCUGUGUGCACUGUAUGUAAUAA
This is an RNA transcript of Polyodon spathula (Mississippi paddlefish), 4792 nucleotides long. It is a transcript of the gene named twist-related protein 2-like, with no coding region annotated. Lineage: Eukaryota; Metazoa; Chordata; Actinopteri; Acipenseriformes; Polyodontidae. The transcript is spliced from 4 exons. The record is from RefSeq and is a predicted model, not a curated record.